Long non-coding RNA from Eptatretus burgeri (inshore hagfish), 2916 nucleotides. NCBI's taxonomy places the organism in Eukaryota, Metazoa, Chordata, Myxini, Myxiniformes, Myxinidae. The record is from Ensembl.
GUUAUAAUUUGUGAAGUGCAGUUUCAUGUACAGCUCCAAAGAACGAUAUUCAAGCGAGUCGUGUUGGGGUUCUUUGAUAUUAGCUCUUGUAAUACUAUAUGUGAAAGGGUAUUCCGAUAGUUCAUCUAUAAUCGAGAAAAAUGUUUCGUUAAAAAAAAAAAUUCUCUUCCGGUUGUUUUCAGUGACGCGAAAGACAUGCUGGAAGAGAUAUGUUGGGGAGUGAUACUGAAUGUGAGAGCUCGAACCGAGGAGUGCAACAGGGACAAGCUGAUGUGGUCGAGUACAAUUCCGAUGAUAGUUUUUCAAUGAUGGGAGUGGAAGGACAUGAGUCAUUGGACAGUUCGAGUGAUUCUCGCAAAGCUUCAACCCUGAGAGACAGCAGUCCAACAUUUAGCCAAAGCAGUCAUGAUUCAAACUGGAAGCAACAUUCCAGACCACUUCGACAAGUGCAGAGCGACGAUUUGCAACAUUACAACUUUGGGUUCCUGGGUAACAGAAGUAAGAUGGGCAAGCCAUCGCAGCACCUGAUUGAAGAUUAUCAGAAAGCUGCCAUGAAUGGACUUUUUCGGUAUAUCCAGACACUGAAAGAGAAACGGUGUCUCUCUCAAAUCUACGAGCUCUUGGGAUCUGCCAAGGAUAACAGCUCGGAUGAUGAAGAAAAGGGACAUUUUUUCGAUCAGGAAUCCCUAUUUUCAUCUGAUGAGGAAGCAGUUGCUGGGCAUGAUGGACAAACUGAUGUGGACAUUGAACUUGACGAAAUCAAUGUCGUGGACACAGAGAUGUUUGUGUUGAAAAGAAGUGUUGAAAGUGAUAUCACUCGUCUGGAACAUCAAGAAGGCAACCAACUGACUGUUUUAAAUGGGGAAAAAUGCAAAAAGAAGGGAAAAUCCAAAGGCAGGAGGUGGCCUAAGUGAGUAAAGCUGGUGAUAUGACUGGCCACAAAUAGGUUGGAUUCUGGAAUACGUUAUUAUUUUUCAUAUAAACAACGUGAAUAUUUUUGGUAAAGUUAUAUUUUCCUUUACUUUGCAUCAUAUAUGCUCACUUUUGUAUUAUACAGUUUCAUUAUGAGGAACAUUUGUUUGAAUAAAUGUUGUCAUAAGAGUGCUUUUGAUGAAUGCGUCUCAGCUGGAUUAUAUGAAAUGUCGAUUUUGUUUUUUCUUUGAAUUCACAAUUAUUAAAAUCUGUUGAACCUUUACAUGGAAUUUAAAUAAAACUUAUGAACAGUUUGUUCAGCACUAUAGCAGCAAAUGAAACUGAAAAAUCAAAACAAUGCCACCAACUGGAGAGUUCGUAGAACACAUUACCUCAUGCAGUGUUUAAGUUUAUAAUUAAUUUGAAAUAAAAUAAUGAUUUUGAAGGUCAUAUGAAAAAAAAAAUUCCGGAAGUUUAGUGCCGUUGAUGCAGUGUCUUGUACACCACCUUAAAUAACAUGUCCAAGUACUGCUGGAUGGAAGGGUUUUGAAAGUGGUGUAAAGGUGAUUUGUGUACUGCAGUAUUCAAGAGUAUAAUUCAUUUGAAAUAUCAAGGUCUUAAAGGUCGCAAAGCCUGGUGUUGGCUUAGCGGUUAAGGUAACUGGCUUGGGACCUUAGAGUCCUGAGUUAAAGACCCUUUUUUACCGUUGAAUUAAUACGAGGUGGGGUUGACUUGGCCUGUAAUCCUUCUGAGGUUGGCGGAAUGAGAACCAGUGUACUGGGGUAAUAACCAUGUGGGAUAACCUGCAUCGGAGUGGCGACCCGUCCAGGACUGUACUCCUUGUUAAUGAAAGUGCCUCGGCAGCCCUACGUGUUUUUUACGGCACGAAAGGAAUGGUAUUAUUAUUAUUAUUAUUAUUAUUAUUAUUAUUAUUAUUAUUAUUAUUAUCAUUCAAGGCUACAGAAAAAAAAAUCCAGACAUUUAUCGCUGGAGAUGCCAGUGUCUUAUACACCACCUUAUUUAUCAUGUUAUAUUCGUUCUUCGUGCCUGUUGGUUGAGUCCUUUUAUAACUUCCUUAAAACCAGUAAGUUUCCUGUUUGGAAUGAUUUUCAAUUUUGUUUGAUUGUCAGGCAGACAGAAUUUUUUUUUUAAUCUCACUCCUAUCUGCGCAUGUGUGAUCGAGACAAAUUCAGAGCCAAAGUACUGAUAAACUACAGGUUUGUUUUCCAAUUCGUGUUCAAAAUAUCACGUUCAAUUGAAAUGAAGUUGUUCCGUGAUCAUAAACUGACAUUUGUAGAUGGACAGACAGACAGACAAGUGAACCGAUUGGUUAACCCCGUUUUUCGCUUCAUGUGCACAGGGUAAAAUGUGGUCAAACUGAGGGGGAGGCAAAACAGCAGGUUGAUGCAAAAUAGUUUCACUGGAAUGGCUCUGAAUAUGGCAGGUGACCUGAUGAUUAAAAUGCUUUCCCUUGAGCUGGAUGAUUCUGGCGUUGAUCGAAUAAAACAUUUGCUUGAUGAAUUGCCAGCAGGCGGGUGUUGCAUCAUGUAGCCGGUAUUCCCUUGUAUAUUAUGGAUGUUUUUCUUGAAUGUUUUUUUUUCUUUUCUUCCUGCAAUCAUUUCAUCAAAGACUACCAGCUAUCAUUUAUUUACCUUUUUAUCAGGGCAGAAGCGAGUGGGCAGUAUAUGAGAGUAUAAGGAACUGCUUGAUAAUGAAAAAAGCAGAAAGAGAGUGUGUUAUGAAUGAUUUGAUCUGCUCAUUGGCAAUAUAUAAAGCAACAACGAUCCAUGAUAUUGUCUACCCUUAAAAAUAUUCAUCAUAUGAGUUUCUUUACAAGGAAAUCCAACGCAGGAGGAGGAGGAGGAAAUUAGGCCUAUCAAAGCCUGUGCUAUUAUUGCCAACCUUUGGUUGUUUGUCUUUGCUCAGUCCUUUUAAAUAUUGAGCGUCAAGCAAAGAAGCAGCAUUUACUGUUUUAUAAUCGUUUGGUAGGAUACAGCUGGGGGU